This 75-nucleotide transfer RNA is filed under the name Candidatus Kaiserbacteria bacterium. Its description in RNAcentral is "tRNA-Arg". It matches the Rfam family "tRNA". Rfam says of the family: Transfer RNA (tRNA) molecules are approximately 80 nucleotides in length. Their secondary structure includes four short double-helical elements and three loops (D, anti-codon, and T loops). The record is from RNAcentral. Lineage: Bacteria; Candidatus Kaiseribacteriota.
GCUCUCGUAGUUUAAUGGAUAAAAUGCUGGUUUGCGGUACCAGCGCUUCAGGUUCGAUUCCUGGCGAGAGCACCA